GUAUGACAAAAAGCAAGACUUUGUCUUGCUUUCAUCAGUGCAUGGACAUUUGAGCUCUUUCAACUUUUUGGCUAUGAUGAACAUGUUUGGAAUGCUAUGAACAUUUAUGCACAAGUUCUGGUUAUGGAGAAGAAAACUAAGACACACAGAGGAAAUGAAUAUUUCCAUAAGGAAUAAAUAAUAAAGAUGUGAGAGAAUUCAACUGAUCAAUGUGUUUCCAGAAGGUUGGUUAUGCUCCAUUGGUCAGAACAACAACACUUGAGGAAUUGUUUCCUCUGUCAUGCCAUAUACCUGAUGCAGAAGAGAAUGUAACAGUAUGGAAAAUGCUUCUGAUAUGAUUGUAAGUGAAAAAAAUAAACUCCAAGCAGAAAGC
Long non-coding RNA from Homo sapiens (human), 373 nucleotides. RefSeq lists it as uncharacterized. The record is from RefSeq and is a predicted model, not a curated record. Lineage: Eukaryota; Metazoa; Chordata; Mammalia; Primates; Hominidae. The transcript is spliced from 4 exons.